This 2162-nucleotide unclassified non-coding RNA is filed under the name Hevea brasiliensis (rubber tree). Lineage: Eukaryota; Viridiplantae; Streptophyta; Magnoliopsida; Malpighiales; Euphorbiaceae. The record is from RNAcentral.
AAAAUUUUCCCGCCUAAUCUCCCUGUUCUAAGAUUCUCAGCUCCAGAACUACAAGCACUAAAACCUAAUCCUCACCACUCCACACUACCACACUUCUCUCGCCCCCAUCGCCCCAAUUCCGGCCACCGUCACCACCAGAUCCACAACACCACCUUUGUUGCCUCUCUCGCUAUCACAGCAGAGCUCCUCCACUCCACCAUCACAUCAUCAACAACUUCUACCCGAUUAUUCUUUCUUUUUCAUUGACGCUUGGACUAUUGUAUCUACAGGUUUUGUGCUUUUUGAAGUAAUUUCGGCCAUUUCUUCAAAAUAAUAAUGAUGGUGACUCUUUGCUUGAUUUUUCAGCAUCAAGCAAAAGGUGUAGACCAGAUGAUGGAAGUUGAUAAUGGAAGGGAUGACAUGUCGAUCGAUGGCCAAAGCCUGGGAAAUGGUGUCCCAGGUGGAUUUAAUGCUAGCUAUCUUAAACUUUACUAUGGAAAGCUUUUCCCUUAUGCUGAUAUUUUCAAAUGGCUUUCCUAUGGAAAUGAUGGGAAGCAUCCUGCAUGUGACAAGUCCUACUUUGGUCGAAGAGAGUUCUCUUUCACGCUGGAUAAUGACAUUUAUCUGCGGUUCCAGUCUGUCAACAAUGAGUUUGAACUGGAGAAUACCAUAAAAGAAAAAUGUCCAUUUAAAAUAGAUAUUGGCCCUGUUUACAGUGUGGAUCCUGCAAAGAGGCAUGCCUAUUCCCAAAGUGGUGAUAAUGUUUUUACACCUGUGGAGAGGGAGCUAAUUUUUGAUAUUGAUAUAUCAGAUUAUGAUAAUGUUAGAUAUUGCUGCUCAGGAGCUGAUGUUUGCUUGGACUGCUGGCCUCUAAUGACUGUUGCUAUUAAAGUGAUUGAUGCUUCGCUCAGAGAUGACUUUGGUUUCAAUCACAUUCUCUGGGUUUUUAGUGGUCGACGUGGUGUCCAUUGCUGGGUUUGUGAUGGAAAAGCAAGGAGGUUGACCAAUGAACAGAGGGCAGCUAUUGCUGAUUAUUUCCGAGUAUACAAGGGCAAUGAAAAUAGUAAUAAAAGGGUUUCUCUGACUGGUCCUGUUCUUCAUCCUUUCCUUGUGAGAUCUUAUACUGAAGUUCUCAAGGACUUUUUUGAGACAAAAUUGCUUUCCAGUCAAAAUCUAUUUUCAACUGAAGAGAGAUAUGGGAAGAUUUUGGAGAUGAUUCCAGAUGAAUCUGUUACUUCUGAGCUUCAGGGAAAGUGGCAGAAUAAUAAACGAUCCUCCAUUUCAAAAGAAGACAUUAAUCUUGUUCGAUGGGAGCAGCUAAAGCAUUCAUUACAAUCUGGACAAAAGAAGGCACAAGGACUUCGUAGAUGUGUUGAAGAGAUUGUGUUCUCUUUUACUUAUCCUAGGAUUGAUAUGGAGGUCUCAAAACACAUGAACCAUUUGCUGAAGGCACCUUUCUGUAUUCAUCCAAAAACAGGACGUGUUUGUGUACCUAUUGACCCAAAACAUUGUGAAGAAUUUGAUCCUACUGUGGUACCAACACUUUCCCAGCUUUUGGAAGAACUUAACAUGGGAGGAGUUGGAGCAGAUGAUGACAAAGAAUGUGAUAGAACCUCGCUUGGAAAAUCACUCAGCUUUUUCAGAUCGUCAUUCUUGCGACCUCUUCUAAAAUCUUGCAAGGAAGAGAUGGAGAGUUUACAUAAUGCGAAACUGCAGCAGUCAAAGAAUUCACUGAGUUGGUAAAUGCUUUCCCAAGUCAUUUCAUCUUGUAUGGAGAAGGUCCUGUUGCAUGUUGCUCUGCCCAACGAUACCAAACAGUAUAUAUAAUUAUGUUGCAGUUUAACUUAACGUAUAGAUGUCUUGCUUUCUGCUUUUCUGUAUAAUCAUUAGCACCCCAUGUGACCUGAUUUCUCUGUUUUCUCUAUAUACCUCAAACUGUACGUACCAUUCAAACCAUGAACAACAAUGGAUGUUGGUUGCCUUUCCUUUUCCAUUCUAGUGAGCACGGCCAAGAAGCACAAGUUACACACACCAAGUGAAUUUAGCAUGGUUGGGAGAAGGAAUUGCAUAAUUAGCACUUUCUUGUGAUCUUCUAAUGUGAGAGAUUGCUUGUCAAAAUUUGCAUCACCUAAUUUUCUUUUCAUUUAAAUAUUGAAUGUUGGACAUCUACUUUAUAAUGUAAC